AUUGAACGCUGGCGGCAGGCCUAACACAUGCAAGUCGAGCGGAUGAAGGGAGCUUGCUCCUGGAUUCAGCGGCGGACGGGUGAGUAAUGCCUAGGAAUCUGCCUGGUAGUGGGGGAUAACGUCCGGAAACGGGCGCUAAUACCGCAUACGUCCUGAGGGAGAAAGUGGGGGAUCUUCGGACCUCACGCUAUCAGAUGAGCCUAGGUCGGAUUAGCUAGUUGGUGGGGUAAAGGCCUACCAAGGCGACGAUCCGUAACUGGUCUGAGAGGAUGAUCAGUCACACUGGAACUGAGACACGGUCCAGACUCCUACGGGAGGCAGCAGUCGGGAAUAUUGGACAGUGGGCGAGAGCAUGAUACAGCGAUGCCGCGUGUGUGAAGAAGGUCUUCGGAUUGUAAAGAACUUUAAGUUGGGAGGAAGGGCAGUAAGUUAAUACCUUGCUGUUUUGACGUUACCAACAGAAUAAGCACCGGCUAACUUCGUG
Molecule: ribosomal RNA, 484 nt
Filed under: uncultured bacterium
Lineage: Bacteria
Description: partial 16S ribosomal RNA
Rfam family: Bacterial small subunit ribosomal RNA
Source: RNAcentral